Orcinus orca (killer whale) is the source of this 3732-nucleotide long non-coding RNA. RefSeq lists it as uncharacterized. Lineage: Eukaryota; Metazoa; Chordata; Mammalia; Artiodactyla; Delphinidae. The record is from RefSeq and is a predicted model, not a curated record. The transcript is spliced from 5 exons.
AGCCAAACUUACAUAAGCGGCGGCGGCGGCCGCCUCCCCGACCCCGGGGCCGCCGCGACAAUGGCGGCGGCACCCCUUCCCGGUCGAAAGCUGGCAACUUCGGGAUGCGGAGGAAGCAGAGAACGGAGCGGAGGACCCAGGGAGCCUCCAGAGCCUCUCCAAGCCUCGCUCCCAUCUCUUUCUGCACAGGAGCCAAACCUAAAACACCUGCACAAGGAAAACUAUCCCACCAAAUGCCAAGAGCACCCUCCCCUUGCUGCUCUGAAAACACUGGACACAGUAAAUGAACAAGAAAUAGAUCGAAUCCCUGAUGACACAGAGAUACAAGAUUGAAUCGAGCCCUUGCUAUGGAUAUUUCUUGUUGACCAUUUUGGUUGUGCUGGGCCAGGGAAGUCCCUUGGUGGAGCGAAUUUCUGAGGAGGAAGAGAAGAACACGGUGUCCUCAGGAACUGCCCCCCGGGACUUCUCUGUCACAUCUGAUCUCUGAAGAGAGAACCUGGGCUAGCAGCUCCCUUUCAGGAGGGAGGGUUGAAUCAAAAAAGUUCUGAACAUCUUCCAAGAUGAGGAAACUGAGGCCCAGAGAGGCAGAGCCUUGACAUAUAUUUAGCCUGAUAACCACUGAGAAAGGGAGAGACUGAGCCUACACUCAAUUCAUUACAAAAGCCAUAAUCCCAGUAACGAAGAUUUCUUCUUGUAACAAAGAAGACAGUAAAAUCAAAGGGGAAAUAUUUAAAGUGGAAUGAAAGGAAUUGGCACUAGAAAAGACGAUGUGGUGACUGGAGAAAAACAGGAAAAGAUUUUAGAAGUUCUCCAUUGUGGGGGGACUCUACAGUCACUGGCUUUGUCUCUUAUCCAGUUUCCUUCCCUAUUGUACUGACCCUGUGCUUCCUGGAUGUCUGCUCCAAACCAGCAGAAAGAGGAAAGGUUUCCACAUGCUAAUAUGUAAAUCCAAGCAGCCCGUGUCUGCGCGGAGCAACCAGUGACUCAGUAAUGCUCAAAAGCAAGGUCAGAGGCAAAGCAAGCCUGCCUUCCCCCAGAUGCUUGGUGACUGUGUCCUAAUUAUCCACCCUGAAAGUCAGUGCCUGAGGGCAAGUAUGCAGCAGAGAACAGCCGGCACAGAAAUACCUCAGUUCCUGCAGCGGAAAAGACAGAGGGUCAGAAGUUCUAAAUCUUGGACACCACUCUACCAGCAACGAGCUCUCAUUUUGGACAAGUUCUUCAUCCUCUCCCUUUAUAGAAUGAAGACAUCGGACAAGACUAAGCUCCUUAUCCAAUGGAGCUCCAAAGCACCUUAAUUGAAUUACCCCCAAACCCUCACUUCCCUUGCCCAUCUUUCCCCCCAAAUCUACCUAGCACAGCUCUAACCCUCAAUCAGCCCAACUCUUCUAAUCUUUGUGUCGCUGCCCCCAAGCAGCUGAGAAGCACGGGAGAAAGUGUCGCAACUGGGAAGGUGGGUGCCACCCCCGAUCCAGAGCGAGCAGCCUCCCCCUUUAUGCAGCAAAGGUCCUCCCUCAGUUUAGAGAGAAUAGAGAACCCCUCGGUCCCUGCCUUCUGCCUGCUCUGCAGACUCACUGCCGCCACAAGGGAUCUCCUCUUCCCAUCUCAGUAGAAGAGGGAUAUUUCCCUGGACGACGCUCCACUGAUUAGCAUUUCUAUGAGAUAUAACUUUCUUCCAUUUUACUGCGGAUUUCUUCAGCAUAAAAUGCUUCUACAAUCUAUUAAUUUUUUAAAAGCCCUCCCUUGUGUGUUCUGAGGGCCGUUUGCUUUCUUGAGUUAAGCUCAAGAAAGGGUGGUCUGUGACAAUCAUGCCCACUUUCUUUCUUUCUUUUUUUUUUUUUUUUCCCCGGUACGCGGGCCUCUCACUGUUGUGGCCUCUCCCGUUGCGGAGCACAGGCUCCGGACGCGCAGGCUCAGCGGCCAUGGCUCACGGGCCCAGCCGCUCCGCGGCAUGUGGGAUCCUCCCGGACCGGGGCACAAACCUGUGUCCCCUGCAUCGGCAGGCGGACUCUCAACCACUGCGCCACCAGGGAAGCCCAUGCCCACUUUAUCUCAACUCCCUCCUUCAUUCACUUUUACCUGGCUUCUGCCCCGGCCACCCCAAGUGAACACCCCUCUCCAAAUUAUCACCUGCCUUAUUGCUAAAGCCAGAGGACAGGUUCUAGUCGUCAUGCCUAAUAGCACUUGCACUGAAACGUCCUUUCCCUUGGCUUUUAUAAUCCCCCUCUCUCUCUGUCUCUCUCGCUCUCUCCGACUUAAAUGUCGAUCUCCCCCAUCGACAGUGUCUCAGGCUCUUCUUCCCUGAUUGGAUGGAUUUACCAACUUUCUAGAUUUCGUUUUUCCAAAACCGAACCAGUCAUCGUGCUCUCUAAACCCUCUGUGUCCUGCUCAACUUGAGGUACCAGAAGUCACUUUAUCACCAAUAUCAAAAACCUUAACCCCAUUCUUGAAUUCACCAUUUCUUUCACCUUCAUUAUAGUUGGUCAUUGAAUCACAUCAGUUCCACCUCUGUAACGUCACACUCGUUAUCAGGCAGAUGUGAUCUUGUCAUCACCACCAACCACCUCUGAGACACCACACUGAAAAUUUUUAGAGGUUCCAGAGCACCGACAAGAUACAGUGCAGUUCUUUGCCAUGGACCUCAAAGCCUUCUGAAAGCCGUCCCGUACGUACUGCACUGAUCUCACGUCCAGCCACUCUGUGCUGUUGCACUCUGUAUUUCUGUCAAAACAAGUGCCUGUGGUCUCCAGAAUAUCUCAUGCUGGUACUCACCCAGGGGCUUUGCACAUACUUCUCCUUCUGCUAAUUUCUCUUCCUACUCCUCUGCUCCCCAUGUCCGCUGACUCGAGUCUACCUACACAUGCUUCAGACUCAGCUCCGGUGUCUUCUCCACAAAAAGUCUUUCUUGGUGGCCCAGUCUUUGUUGGUCUAGUCCACUAUCUGGAAUAUAGCAAAACGUUUCAAUGUUUUUGACAGUUCAAUGAUCUGCUUCAAUGAUUUUCUCUUUUAUUUUAUUUUUUAAAAUUUUAUUUAUUAUUAUUAUUUGGGGGGCUGCAUUGGGUCUUCGUUGCUGCACGUGGGCUCUUCUCUAGAUGCAGCGAGCAGGGGCUUUAGGAGCGUGGGCUUCAGUAGUUGUGGCGCACGGGCUUAGUUGCUCCGUGGCAUGUGGGAUCUUCCCGGACCAGGGCUUGAACCCGUGUCCCCUGCAUUGGCAGGUGGAUUCUUAACCACUACUCCACCAGGGAAGUCCCGUGAUUUUCUCUUUUAAACAAUUCAAUUUACCCUCAUUUCAUACGCCUGAUCUCUAAAGUACCUCAACUUUAUUUGUGCUUCACUUACUCUUCUUUGGGUCUUUAUCCCAUUUUCAGUGUUAUCACUUUUAAUUCUGUCUUAAACAGUUCUUACAAAAUAUUUUCCGAAUAAAAAUGUUAAAGAGAAGCAGAUGAAGGCAUGGGAUUAAUAGAAAACUGUAAAAUGAAAACGAGAUGGGGUUGGGACCUAGUUUACCAUGGCAUAUCUGGCCCUCCCGCUAUUUCCCCCAUGUGAUAUUUCCAGAGCUGCUUCAGUUACAAUUCCUUAAAUUUUAAAUAUUGUAUAAAGCUUCUAGCUGCCUUGAAUGUAGGAGUUUUCAAAGAGGGCGUAAGUACUAUCAGGGUGUGUUUAAAUGUGAAUAUGAGUGUUAGUAAAGACACAGGCUAAGCUUCUGUGAUGAAGAAACUCAAAAAAAAAAAACAA